CACGUAGGGCGCAAGCGUUGUCCGGAAUUAUUGGGCGUAAAGAGCUCGUAGGCGGUCUGUUACGUCUGCUGUGAAAACCCAGGGCUUAACCCUGGGCUUGCAGUGGAUACGGGCAGACUAGAGGCAGGUAGGGGAGAAUGGAAUUCCCGGUGUAGCGGUGAAAUGCGCAGAUAUCGGGAGGAACACCGGUGGCGAAGGCGGUUCUCUGGACCGCAACUGACGCUGAGACGCGAAAGCGUGGGGAGCAAACAGG
This 253-nucleotide ribosomal RNA is filed under the name uncultured bacterium. RNAcentral's name for it is "partial 16S ribosomal RNA". It matches the Rfam family "Bacterial small subunit ribosomal RNA", at positions 524 to 776 of the family's 1533-position model. The record is from RNAcentral.